RNAcentral lists this ribosomal RNA (468 nucleotides) under uncultured bacterium. RNAcentral describes it as "partial 16S ribosomal RNA". It matches the Rfam family "Bacterial small subunit ribosomal RNA", at positions 28 to 523 of the family's 1533-position model. The record is from RNAcentral.
GAUGAACGCUGGCGGCGUGCCUAACACAUGCAAGUCGAGCGAUUCUCUUCGGAGAAGAGCGGCGGACGGGUGAGUAACGCGUGGGUAACCUGCCCUGUACACACGGAUAACAUACCGAAAGGUAUGCUAAUACGAGAUAAUAUGCUUUUAUCGCAUGAUAGAAGUAUCAAAGCUCCGGCGGUACAGUAUGGACCCGCGUCUGAUCAGCUAGUUGGUAAGGUAACGGCUUACCAAGGCGACGAUCAGUAGCCGACCUGAGAGGGUGAUCGGCCACAUUGGAACUGAGACACGGUCCAAACUCCUACGGGAGGCAGCAGUGGGGAAUAUUGCACAAUGGGCGAAAGCCUGAUGCAGCAACGCCGCGUGAGCGAUGAAGGCCUUCGGGUCGUAAAGCUCUGUCCUCAAGGAAGAUAAUGACGGUACUUGAGGAGGAAGCCCCGGCUAACUACGUGCCAGCCGCCGCCGUAA